RNAcentral lists this transfer RNA (73 nucleotides) under Mus musculus (house mouse). RNAcentral's name for it is "tRNA-Val". The record is from RNAcentral. Lineage: Eukaryota; Metazoa; Chordata; Mammalia; Rodentia; Muridae.
CUUAGUAUGCCUUAGGAGGUAGAAUGCUUGCCUAACAUGUGUGAGGUCCUGGGUUCAAUCCCCAGCAUUGUGU